This is a long non-coding RNA of Brachypodium distachyon (stiff brome), 1532 nucleotides long. RefSeq lists it as uncharacterized. The transcript has 5 exons. The record is from RefSeq and is a predicted model, not a curated record. NCBI's taxonomy places the organism in Eukaryota, Viridiplantae, Streptophyta, Magnoliopsida, Poales, Poaceae.
UUGCGUCCAGAGCAGCCAGCCCACGAACAAACCUCGCCCUCGACAAGCCUCGGUAAAAAGCCUGAACUGCUGCCCGUGCCCUGCUGCCCGUGCUCCCUGUGCGCCGUUCCCCCUCCCUUGCCAUCUGCUCUCGCCGCCUGCCCUCCCUGGCGAAGGCGAUCGUGCGCGUCCGUUACCGCACGUCGGCCCAUCUCCUGCCCCCCUGCGCGCUACUCCGCUGCCCUGCAUUCGACUGGCCGCCUGCCCUCCCAAGCAACUGUGCACGGACGUUUCUCGCCCGUUUGCUCCCCAUCUCCUGUUCGUCCGUACCAGCUGCUCCGGCGCCGCGGCCAAUCCUCUCCCGACCACCGAUGCAGCCACUAAUGCUCUAGAAAGCGCCCCACGUAUCCAAGCAUUCAUCAACCACGAUUGCUCUGCAAAUACAACACCUUCUUCAUCCUUUAAAUCCCUGCCCAUGCGACCUGCUCGAAUCGCCUCUCUGGCACCGACGCUCGCUCAGUGCUUGCUUCGGUUCUCAGUGCUGCUCAAUUUGUUAGGCCCAGAAGUAGUUGACUGAUUGCUAAUUUUUAAAGUUGCGAAGCUCAUAAUUGUUGGGAUCAAUUUCUUCCUCGAUCGAGAUCUCUCUAUGCGGCUUGGGUCAGGACCUUGAUGAGGCAGCUGAGGAUGUGAAGGAAAAGAGAAGAACUGCAAAUGAAGCUACUGUGGAUCCAAAGAUUCUGUGGAAAUAUUCAAAAAGAGAAGAGCUGUAGAUGAAGGUACUGUGGAUCCGAAGAUUUUGCGGAAAUAUGCAAUUGACAAUGACGACUUUCAGGUUGAGAAGACCCUGCAGAAUGGCGAGUUGUCUGCACGCUGAGUUAUUAGUGUAAAAUCCAGCAAGACAAAUGCUGACAAGAAAGAGAAGCGUAAGGAAAUGGGAAAAUCGAAAGAAAAAAACAAUUUGUUCCAUGUCUAAAACAACAAGAAAAUUCGUCCCUAGAGGAAAGGCCUCCGAUGAGCCUUCUUUCAGGUCCUCUGAGUUUGCUACAAAUGUCUUGGUUUGUGAUAUUACUGUGUUCUGCUAAUUCAAGCUAUGGAAUUCGAACCAUGAAGAAAAACAGUCUGGUAAUUAUCCAAUCAGAGACUCAUAUGCUUGAUCUUCUAAUAAUUUUUUCCACUUGCAUUAAGUUAUAGAUAUUUUUUGUUCUGCAAAGAUGUUGUUCCAUCCAGACCAUCUAAAAUCUAAAGCCUAUAACAGCACAUCAAUUUUUUUUGUUGCUAAGCCUCCUGGUAAUUAAUCUUUUGACAAAUUAUAUGGUGCUCAACGAUUUCCUGCGUACCAAUGAGAGAUGUGCAAUUUAAUCGCCCAGGAGAACAGCAUAUAGCAAUCUAUUGUGAAAGAGCAGCAGGCCAAGCAACAGAAAGAGGGAAGCCUGCUAUUUGAGCUCCCCUUUUGUUUAUCCUUGAUUACAUGCAUGAUCUAUUUUCUGUCUAUUUCUCAUAAUAUUCCCAACAGCUUUAAUGGCCUAUUAAUUAAUAAAGGUUCUUCUGAAAUA